AACCUUAUGGACCUGCGGGCGUAUACCUGCGGAAGGAUCAUUAAAGAUUGGCCGAGAGGCCUUAUCUCUAUAUCCCACACCUCUGUGAACCGUUGACCCUCGGGUCUACCAUACAAACAUCAGUGUAAUGAACGUAAAUAACAUUAACAAAACAAAACUUUCAGCAAUGGAUCU
RNAcentral lists this unclassified non-coding RNA (174 nucleotides) under soil metagenome. RNAcentral's name for it is "partial contains 5.8S ribosomal RNA, internal transcribed spacer 2, and large subunit ribosomal RNA". The record is from RNAcentral.